RNAcentral lists this ribosomal RNA (254 nucleotides) under uncultured bacterium. Its description in RNAcentral is "partial 16S ribosomal RNA". It matches the Rfam family "Bacterial small subunit ribosomal RNA", at positions 524 to 776 of the family's 1533-position model. The record is from RNAcentral.
UACGUAGGUGGCAAGCGUUGUCCGGAUUUAUUGGGCGUAAAGCGAGCGCAGGCGGUUUCUUAAGUCUGAUGUGAAAGCCCCCGGCUCAACCGGGGAGGGUCAUUGGAAACUGGGAGACUUGAGUGCAGAAGAGGAGAGUGGAAUUCCAUGUGUAGCGGUGAAAUGCGUAGAUAUAUGGAGGAACACCAGUGGCGAAGGCGGCUCUCUGGUCUGUAACGUGACGCUGAGGCUCGAAAGCGUGGGGAGCGAACAGG